This 1109-nucleotide long non-coding RNA is filed under the name Papio anubis (olive baboon). RNAcentral describes it as "lncRNA (ENSPANG00000037551.1)". The record is from RNAcentral. Lineage: Eukaryota; Metazoa; Chordata; Mammalia; Primates; Cercopithecidae.
GAGCAAAAUGCCUGUUAACCGAAGUUUGAUUAAGAUUCUCUCCCUUCCCCAGGUCCCUGAACUUUGGCCUACCCUCAGCCUGUGUGAGUGAUAGAGAUAGGAGGCAGCCAAGGGUCCCCGGAGAAACCCCGCCUUCAAGCCUAAAACAGCUUGAAGGCUGAAAAACCAAACUGCCGGUCCCAGAUGAAGCCCACCCUUUUCCCGACUGAUUCGUUCUGAAUAAUGCGCACAUGCGCACUAGCGAGGACAGGCUGGAGCCUCUCGAAGUUUGCGCCCUUUGCAGGGGGGAGGAGCCUGGCCUCUCCAGUUCCUGUGUGGUAACCUGAGAUUCAAUCUGUGAGGCAGGAAACCUGCUAGCAGGGCUCUCUCUCUCUUUGCUGUGGGUUCCUGUUUACCUUUUUCUUAUAUUUUUUCCUUUUCAUCCAAUAAAUUCCAUUCCCCCUCACCCGUCAAAGUGUCUGUGUGCCUAACUUUUACUGGUUGUAUGACAAGAACCCAGUGUUUUCUACAACAUUUUUGGCGUCCGGACGUGGGGCUUGAAGAAGGGUUCAAGCAAUUCUCCUGCCUCAGCCUCCGAAGUAGCUGGAACUACAGGAGAAGGAGGGGAGAGGAAAAGAAAAAGGAAGUAAGAUCGAGAAGCUGUGGGGCCAAAGAAUGGAACAGAAUGUUGCAAUGGAGUGCUGAUUACUCUUCAGCACCAUUCUGGGAAGGAAAUGCCAAGACCACUCCCAUCUCUCAGAAUUACUCAUCUGAGGGUCAUCGUAAAGAACAAAAGAAGAGCACAUGUAUGGCUACAUUGCAUGCAAGUAUGCAAUAUUUUUAUUAUAAACUACAUUUUGAAAAGUUAGGAAAUUAAAGCUCUAAAUGCUGAAUCACUUACCCAAUUUCAUUGGGUCAUUUUCUGUUUAAGGAACUCUCGCAACUUCAAGCUCUGUUCCCUUUCCUCUAAACCUUGAACCUUCUCUUUUGUCUGGAAAGACAAAGUGUCAUAUAAUUUAAAAAAAUUUAAUCUUUAAUUAAGUACUACCUAGAGUGUCACAAUAUGAUGAUAAAUGUGUAUUUCUUUAUAAUUAACUCUAUUCCCAAAUCCCCACCUUGUUAAAACUGAG